Cryptotermes secundus is the source of this 1447-nucleotide long non-coding RNA. RefSeq lists it as uncharacterized. The record is from RefSeq and is a predicted model, not a curated record. Lineage: Eukaryota; Metazoa; Arthropoda; Insecta; Blattodea; Kalotermitidae. The transcript has 3 exons.
ACGUCACCCGAUGCCCUGGUGUCAUAUCCUCCACUGGUACACCAGCAUGGCCUGCUGGUAUCGACGCUGGGACUCCAGUUCACGGUGACAAGCCACCACUUCCUCGACGGCAGCAUGAAUCUUCGCUGCGUGGCGAGUGUCUCGCCGAUACUGUGGCAAGGAGACCGCGAGAGUGUCGUACAAAGAGUGUCGCCACUAAUAGAAAAGAACAUCCGAGAGGCCCUGCUACUAGUGAAAGGGUCCUCGAGCCAGUGCAGUGCCUCUGUCGUCAUCGUUGCGGCUAUGACGUCACUCCUACUCUCCACAUGACUUAAUCAUCGUCAUCUGUAAUCAGUGCUAACUACCACAGCGCACGGAGCUUGAAUCGCAUCGGUUUCCGGGACUUCAAAAAAUUGACUUUACCCGUUCUAAUUGCUGACGAGUCUCCUAAAUACUGAAAAGUACGUAAUCAGCAUUUCAGCAAUCUGUAAAGAGGUCUCCAUUGAGCGGAGGCUUUCGUUUCAAUGUAACGCUCAUGUGCUAUUCAGUAUGAGCGGUUAUCGCGUGUUCGUGCAGAGAGUUUCGUAUAUGAAGAAGCAACAUAACGACACCACGAAGAAUGUAAAGCAAACAGUAUGCUGGCGGGUUCGGUGAGGAAGACUGAACAGUACGAAGCUUGACAAUUAUGUUGGGAGCAAUAUAUCUGAAUUCCUUAUUUUCUCCAACGAGUCCCAUCUGUUGGGUGUAAACCAGACUCAUCUGCAGCGUUAACUCAUAGGACAAUCGAUCAUUAAGGACACAGACGUUUUAAGAGCCGAGGAUUUUGGUACUUUCUUAAGGUGUUUCGACUUCAAAGAAGAGAAAAUGGAAUGUUUGCUACCAAACGUGAAAUGAAAGUGUACUCACAUGUGAUGGUUGUGUGUGUGUGUGUCUGUGUGUGAGCCAUAUGCUUCAGACACUAAACUCCUGAAUAACUCUUUCCACAACAGCGUGUGUGAUAUUUUCUCAACAUGUGAAUAAAACUGAUGACUUGCUCGGAAAUGUGUGUGAUGUCAGUUACACUUAAAACAAUUGUAUAUCAUCAGAAGAAACAUAAUCUAUCAAAAGAACCUAUUAUUUUAUGUGUUUCAAUGAAAAUGUAUAAAACCUCUAUUUUAAACUUAUCAUAUAAUGACAUUACCUGAAUUAUAGGUCUAAUAUAACGAGAUUAUAAAAACAAAUGCCGACGUAAAAUGAUCGACACAAUUUAAUUUUAAAAUAUUAUAAAUCAUGUCAAAGGAAUAUGAAUCAGGCAGAGUAAAAAUAUAUCUGGGAUAAUUGAAAGAAAAUUAUUUUGAUUGCGGAUUAAUAAAAAUAUAUGCUGUAUUUCCUCGAUCAUCUUAAUAAAGGAAUGGAAAUUAAUUUAAAGAAUAUUCCCAAAUGAAUUUAAAUUAACCCUUUAAAGAUUGAAAUUCUCCUAACAGGAAAC